CAUCAGUAAUGAUGGGUAGGGGAGCUUCCCAUACGGGUUGAAGCAUGACCGUAAGGACAUGUGGACAGUAUGGGAGCGAGAAUGUUGGCAUGAGUAGCGAGAUGUGGGUGAGAAUCCCACAGGCCGUAAACCCAAGGUUUCCAGGGGAAGGUUCGUCCGCCCUGGGUUAGUCGGGACCUAAGCUGAGGCCGAAAGGCGUAGGUGAUGGACAACAGGUUGAUAUUCCUGUACUACCGAUAACCGUUUGAGAGAUGGGAUGACACAGUAGGAUAAGCUAAGCACACUGUUGGUUAUGUGUGCCCAAGCAUUGAGGCAGUCAAAGUAGG
Molecule: ribosomal RNA, 326 nt
Filed under: Clostridioides difficile
Lineage: Bacteria; Bacillati; Bacillota; Clostridia; Peptostreptococcales; Peptostreptococcaceae
Description: partial 23S ribosomal RNA
Rfam family: Bacterial large subunit ribosomal RNA
Source: RNAcentral